Molecule: unclassified non-coding RNA, 312 nt
Filed under: uncultured Tomentella
Lineage: Eukaryota; Fungi; Basidiomycota; Agaricomycetes; Thelephorales; Thelephoraceae
Description: sequence contains ITS2
Source: RNAcentral
AACGCACCUUGCGCCCCUUGGAUAUUCCGAAGGGCAUGCCUGUUUGAGUAUCAUGAACACCUCAACUCUCAUGGUUUGCCAUGAUGAGCUUGGACUUUGGGGGUUCUGCUGGCCCAUGGUCGGCUCCCCUUAAAUGGAUCAGCUUGCCAGUGUUUUGGUGGGAUCCCAGGUGUGAUAACUAUCUACGCUUGUGGCUUUCCGUCAAGCAACCUUCAGCAAUGAGGGUUCGCUGGGGCUCAUAAACGUCUCUCUUGUGGAGACAGGUUUUUGAAGUUUGAUCUCAAAUCAGGUAGGACUACCCGCUGAACUUAA